RNAcentral lists this microRNA precursor (205 nucleotides) under Oryza glumipatula. RNAcentral describes it as "MIR812 microRNA precursor family". It matches the Rfam family "MIR812 microRNA precursor family". The record is from Rfam by way of RNAcentral. Lineage: Eukaryota; Viridiplantae; Streptophyta; Magnoliopsida; Poales; Poaceae.
AAAAAGACAAACCCUGGUUUCCGUGUCCAACAUUUGACCGUCCGUCUUAUUUAAAAAAAUUGUGAUAAAAAUUUAAAAAAUAAGUCACGCAUAAAGUAUUAAUCAUGUUUUACCAUCUAACAACAAUGAAAAUACUAAUUAUAAAAAAAUUUUAUAUAAGAUGGACAGUCAAACGUUGGCACGGAAACCCAGGGUUUAUCUUUUU